GAAAUGCGAUAAGUAAUGUGAAUUGCAGAAUUCAGUGAAUCAUCGAAUCUUUGAACGCACAUUGCGCUCCUUGGUAUUCCGGGGAGCACGCCUGUUUGAGAAUCAUUAAAAAUCAAUCACCCUAGUUGGUGGACUUGAGCCUUUUCUCCCGCAAGGAAGAAUGGUUCGAAAUUGAAUGUCGGGAAAUCCCUCGGUACCGUUCCGUUCAGGAUUUCAAGCGCAUGAAAGAGUGUUUUCACUUUAUCUAGUUCGCUUGUUUACCUGCGGGGUGAUGUGCGGGAGGUUUUGCGAACUGCUGGACGAGGCAACUCGGUUGGCGAUUAAGACGCUCGGGGGCAGUUUGUCUCUGAGCUCUUGAACUCUUGGUCUCAAAUCAGGUGGGAAAACCCGCUGAACUUAAGC
This 402-nucleotide unclassified non-coding RNA is filed under the name plant metagenome. Its description in RNAcentral is "partial contains 5.8S ribosomal RNA, internal transcribed spacer 2, and large subunit ribosomal RNA". The stretch from base 1 to 105 matches the Rfam family "5.8S ribosomal RNA", at positions 50 to 154 of the family's 154-position model. The record is from RNAcentral.